Austrofundulus limnaeus is the source of this 326-nucleotide long non-coding RNA. RefSeq lists it as uncharacterized. NCBI's taxonomy places the organism in Eukaryota, Metazoa, Chordata, Actinopteri, Cyprinodontiformes, Rivulidae. The transcript is spliced from 3 exons. The record is from RefSeq and is a predicted model, not a curated record.
UACAUCCUGUUUGUGACAGAGUUGAUCAUGCUGACAAUGGGUCUUACCGGUACAUCCAGUUUGUGAAUUUUGGGUAAACCAUACAGACUAGGAGUGGCCUCACCUGGGUAAAGUCUAUGAUACAGAAUCCGAAUAAUAGCCUUGUCCUGCUCUAAACUUUUCAGGCAAUCUAUUAGUUUCUUCUUGUAACCACUUCCUGGAUCUCUCUUCAGCAUUGGCAGCAUGUAUCAUAGACUUUACCCACUUAAGACUUAAAUAUAGUUUGUCAGCUCGUAGCUCCUGGAGUGGUGAAACUAACCAAACAAGCCGCCCCUAAAUUAUCUGGU